UGGAUUCAACUUUUGACUCAGAAAAGUCUUCAAUUUUCUUAUCCAGAUGUUCCAUUUGUCAUACCAAAGUGUAUUCUCUGGAACAUGACUUUUGCAGAAUAGAAAAAAAAAAUGUUACAGGAACAAAAGGGAGUCACAGUGCUAAGUUGAAUGAAAUUCAACUGGCUUUUAAAUUGUAGGAUCACUCAGAGCCUCAUUAGAGGCUUAAAAUCUAAUGUGUCUCUCAAAGAGGGAGCAACAUAUCAUUUAAAAUGCAAUGAAUAGCUAAGUGUUGCCGGAACUUACCCAGCUAUGGAAACUUCUUUUCAUAAAGCAUCUCAUGGAAUUUAGGAAUUUAGGGAAACAAUGACUACGUUCUUUAGGACACUUCAGGUUGAAAGUAAUAGAGAUCAAACACUAGUUUAGGCAAGAAGCGGAAACCAUUUGCUCCGGUAACAAAAUCAAAGGUAGGACAAGGGUGGAGAUAGCUUCAUGGACAACUGGAGUAGCUUAUAAUCGUUAAUAUUUAUUGUGAGAUGACCAUGUGCCAGACAUUGCUCAACAUACUUCACAUGCAUUCAUUGGUUCAGUCCCUACAACAGUACUAUUAUUAUCGUCUCUUUACAAAAGAGGAACAUCAGGGUCAGAGAAGUUUGCCAAGGUUGCCAAGGCAGUGACUCUGUACCCACACUUGGAACUACUAACCUUUUGUUUUUCCAGGGACUGAAAUGCUGUCAAAGUUCAUUUUCUCUGUGUGACUCUUGUGUCCUUGGCUCUAUUUCAUUCUCUUCAAAUCAGCUUUCCCCAUGAGA
Molecule: long non-coding RNA, 791 nt
Filed under: Marmota monax (woodchuck)
Lineage: Eukaryota; Metazoa; Chordata; Mammalia; Rodentia; Sciuridae
Source: RNAcentral